RNAcentral lists this ribosomal RNA (921 nucleotides) under Escherichia coli. RNAcentral describes it as "partial 23S ribosomal RNA". It matches the Rfam family "Bacterial large subunit ribosomal RNA", at positions 593 to 1518 of the family's 2925-position model. The record is from RNAcentral. Lineage: Bacteria; Pseudomonadati; Pseudomonadota; Gammaproteobacteria; Enterobacterales; Enterobacteriaceae.
GUGACUGCGUACCUUUUGUAUAAUGGGUCAGCGACUUAUAUUCUGUAGCAAGGUUAACCGAAUAGGGGAGCCGAAGGGAAACCGAGUCUUAACUGGGCGUUAAGUUGCAGGGUAUAGACCCGAAACCCGGUGAUCUAGCCAUGGGCAGGUUGAAGGUUGGGUAACACUAACUGGAGGACCGAACCGACUAAUGUUGAAAAAUUAGCGGAUGACUUGUGGCUGGGGGUGAAAGGCCAAUCAAACCGGGAGAUAGCUGGUUCUCCCCGAAAGCUAUUUAGGUAGCGCCUCGUGAAUUCAUCUCCGGGGGUAGAGCACUGUUUCGGCAAGGGGGUCAUCCCGACUUACCAACCCGAUGCAAACUGCGAAUACCGGAGAAUGUUAUCACGGGAGACACACGGCGGGUGCUAACGUCCGUCGUGAAGAGGGAAACAACCCAGACCGCCAGCUAAGGUCCCAAAGUCAUGGUUAAGUGGGAAACGAUGUGGGAAGGCCCAGACAGCCAGGAUGUUGGCUUAGAAGCAGCCAUCAUUUAAAGAAAGCGUAAUAGCUCACUGGUCGAGUCGGCCUGCGCGGAAGAUGUAACGGGGCUAAACCAUGCACCGAAGCUGCGGCAGCGACGCUUAUGCGUUGUUGGGUAGGGGAGCGUUCUGUAAGCCUGUGAAGGUGUGCUGUGAGGCAUGCUGGAGGUAUCAGAAGUGCGAAUGCUGACAUAAGUAACGAUAAAGCGGGUGAAAAGCCCGCUCGCCGGAAGACCAAGGGUUCCUGUCCAACGUUAAUCGGGGCAGGGUGAGUCGACCCCUAAGGCGAGGCCGAAAGGCGUAGUCGAUGGGAAACAGGUUAAUAUUCCUGUACUUGGUGUUACUGCGAAGGGGGGACGGAGAAGGCUAUGUUGGCCGGGCGACGGUUGUCCCGGUUUAAGCG